RNAcentral lists this long non-coding RNA (303 nucleotides) under Homo sapiens (human). Its description in RNAcentral is "non-protein coding lnc-DCHS1-2:1". Lineage: Eukaryota; Metazoa; Chordata; Mammalia; Primates; Hominidae. The record is from RNAcentral.
GAAGGAUUUGAUCCCAAAGCUGUUUCAAGUACUGGCCCCUCGGUACAAAGAUCAAACUGGGGGCUACACAAGAAUGCUGCAGAUCCCAAAUCGGAGUUUGGAUCGGGCCAAGAUGGCAGUGAUCGAGUAUAAAGGGAAUUGCCUCCCACCCCUGCCUCUGCCUCGCAGAGACAGCCACCUUACACUCCUAAACCAGCUGCUGCAGGGUUUGCGGCAGGACCUCAGGCUGCCGUUCCCUUGGGUUCAGAGGCUUUAGUAGGGUAGUAGUUAUGGAAGGACUUAGAAAGGAGCCAUCAGUCUUGG